UUUCCAGACUCCUACGGGAGGCAGCAGUGAGGAAUAUUGGUCAAUGGCCGGAAGGCUGAACCAGCCAUGCCGCGUGAAGGUCAGUGCCCUAUGGGCGUUAAACUUCUUUUGUGCGGGAGCAAUAAUGGUCACGUGUGGCCAGACGAGAGUACCGUACGAAUAAGCAUCGGCUAACUCCGUGCCAGCAGCCGCGGUAAUACGUAGGGAGCGAGCGUUGUCCGGAAUUACUGGGUGUAAAGGGAGCGUAGGCGGGAUUGCAAGUUGGAUGUGAAAACUGCGGGCUCAACCCGGAGCGUGCAUUCAAAACUGCGAUUCUUGAGUGAAGUAGAGGCAAGCGGAAUUCCUAGUGCAGCGGUGAAAUGCGUAGAUAUUAGGAGGAACACCAGUGGCGAAGGCGGCUUGCUGGGCUUUUACUGACGCUGAGGCUCGAAAGUGUGGGGAGCAAACAGGAUUAGAUACCCGAGUAAA
This 468-nucleotide ribosomal RNA is filed under the name uncultured bacterium. RNAcentral's name for it is "bacterial SSU rRNA". It matches the Rfam family "Bacterial small subunit ribosomal RNA", at positions 328 to 794 of the family's 1533-position model. The record is from RNAcentral.